RNAcentral lists this ribosomal RNA (504 nucleotides) under uncultured bacterium. RNAcentral's name for it is "bacterial SSU rRNA". It matches the Rfam family "Bacterial small subunit ribosomal RNA", at positions 18 to 518 of the family's 1533-position model. The record is from RNAcentral.
UCUGGCUCAGGAUGAACGCUGGCGGCGUGCUUAAUACAUGCAAGUCGAACGAAGCACUUAUGACAGAUCCCCUCGGGGUGAAGACGUUGUGACUGAGUGGCGGACGGGUGAGUAACGCGUGGGUAACCUGCCUUAUGCAGGGGGACAACAGUUGGAAACGACUGCUAAUACCGCAUAAGCGCACGGCACCGCAUGGUGCAGUGUGAAAAGAUUUAUCGGCAUAAGAUGGACCCGCGUCUGGAUUAGGGUAGUUGGUGAGGUAACGGCCCACCAAGCCGACGAUCAGUAGCCGACUUGAGAGAGUGAUCGGCCACAUUGGGACUGAGACACGGCCCAGACUCCUACGGGAGGCAGCAGUAGGGAAUAUUGCACAAUGGGGGAAACCCUGAUGCAAGCGACGCCGCGUGAGUGAUGAAGUAUUUCGGUACGUAAAGCUCUAUCAGCAGGGAAGAUAAUGACGGUACCUGACUAAGAAGCCCCGGCUAACUACGUGCCAGCCGCCGC